Hyla sarda is the source of this 462-nucleotide long non-coding RNA. RefSeq lists it as uncharacterized. The record is from RefSeq and is a predicted model, not a curated record. Lineage: Eukaryota; Metazoa; Chordata; Amphibia; Anura; Hylidae. The transcript has 3 exons.
AAGACCUCAACCUAUUUGCCCGGUCCCUUAUUUUCAAAAAAUGGUACCAUAAAAGCGAAAUUGACAAGAUUUUUACUACACCCAUGGAGAGGAUGGCACUCAGGGACUUGGAAGAAUUAGCAAUCGAACAUGAGACACCCAGAGAUAUGUAGAAACUAAUGGAGAUUAUCCAGCAAGCUGCAACCUCAGGAACCAUUACACCAUCUUUAGCUAAGGCACUUACCGUGGAAUAUCCAAAAAUGACAACCUUGCCAAUACCAAUCUACUGCCAAAGAUACACAAACACCUGACGAAACCACCUGGACGCCCGAUUAUUUCAGCGUCCAUGGAUGUUCACUAACUACAUGUAGAACCCAGUCCACCUCCCGAUUUAAGGAAUACCUUUUCAAGUGGUACCAUCAGUUUGCCCCCCGUCUGCUGCCAUCUAUCUUACUGCAGAACUUUUGAGUGUAUUUAAUUCAA